Long non-coding RNA from Mirounga angustirostris (Northern elephant seal), 341 nucleotides. RefSeq lists it as uncharacterized. The record is from RefSeq and is a predicted model, not a curated record. The transcript is spliced from 3 exons. NCBI's taxonomy places the organism in Eukaryota, Metazoa, Chordata, Mammalia, Carnivora, Phocidae.
UUUUGCAUCCUCAAGAGUAUGAUUUGGUUUUGAAGACAGGAAAUGGAAGUCUGGAGAAGUGAAGUGACUCUCUUCUGAUCACAAAGCAAAUGAGGAAAUGUGGAUCCCAGCUCAGAGUUCACUUCCACUGAGGCAUUUCUCCUGAUGCCCUGCAGCUGAAGAAGUCAUUCCUUCAACUGGGUUUCUACAACAUAUUUCUUCAACUCAAGCUAAUAGACUGCAGUUGGUGGUUUCUGUGCCUCUGGAUGGAGCCCCAGGAACUGAGAGAGGCCUCCUUAAAGAAAGGUCAUCUGCUUCCUGUCAAAGGGAUAUUGAAAAAAUUGAAGAUGAUUUUUUUUCCC